AGAGUUUGAUCAUGGCUCAGAUUGAACGCUGGCGGCAGGCCUAACACAUGCAAGUCGAGCGGUAGCACAGAGAGCUUGCUCUCGGGUGACGAGCGGCGGACGGGUGAGUAAUGUCUGGGAAACUGCCUGAUGGAGGGGGAUAACUACUGGAAACGGUAGCUAAUACCGCAUAACGUCGCAAGACCAAAGUGGGGGACCUUCGGGCCUCAUGCCAUCAGAUGUGCCCAGAUGGGAUUAGCUAGUAGGUGGGGUAAUGGCUCACCUAGGCGACGAUCCCUAGCUGGUCUGAGAGGAUGACCAGCCACACUGGAACUGAGACACGGUCCAGACUCCUACGGGAGGCAGCAGUGGGGAAUAUUGCACAAUGGGCGCAAGCCUGAUGCAGCCAUGCCGCGUGUAUGAAGAAGGCCUUCGGGUUGUAAAGUACUUUCAGCGAGGAGGAAGGCAUUAAGGUUAAUAACCUUGGUGAUUGACGUUACUCGCAGAAGAAGCACCGGCUAACUCCGUGCCAGCAGCCGCGGUAAUACGGAGGGUGCAAGCGUUAAUCGGAAUUACUGGGCGUAAAGCGCACGCAGGCGGUCUGUCAAGUCGGAUGUGAAAUCCCCGGGCUCAACCUGGGAACUGCAUUCGAAACUGGCAGGCUAGAGUCUUGUAGAGGGGGGUAGAAUUCCAGGUGUAGCGGUGAAAUGCGUAGAGAUCUGGAGGAAUACCGGUGGCGAAGGCGGCCCCCUGGACAAAGACUGACGCUCAGGUGCGAAAGCGUGGGGAGCAAACAGGAUUAGAUACCCUAGUAGUCCACGCCG
This 803-nucleotide ribosomal RNA is filed under the name methanotrophic bacterium H4. RNAcentral describes it as "bacterial SSU rRNA". It matches the Rfam family "Bacterial small subunit ribosomal RNA", at positions 8 to 802 of the family's 1533-position model. The record is from RNAcentral. Lineage: Bacteria; Pseudomonadati; Pseudomonadota; Alphaproteobacteria.